AUACGGAGGGUCCAAGCGUUAUCCGGAUUCAUUGGGUUUAAAGGGUGCGCAGGCGGGCUUGUAAGUCAGUGGUGAAAUACUGCCGCUUAACGGUAGAACUGCCAUUGAUACUGCAAGUCUUGAAUAUGGUUGAGGUAGGCGGAAUGUGUUGUGUAGCGGUGAAAUGCAUAGAUAUGACACAGAACGCCAAUUGCGAAGGCAGCUUACUAAGCCAUUAUUGACGCUGAGGCACGAAAGCGUGGGGAGCGAACAGGAUUAGAAACCCUUGUAGUCC
Molecule: ribosomal RNA, 274 nt
Filed under: uncultured bacterium
Lineage: Bacteria
Description: partial 16S ribosomal RNA
Rfam family: Bacterial small subunit ribosomal RNA
Source: RNAcentral